AAAUUGAAGAGUUUGAUCAUGGCUCAGAUUGAACGCUGGCGGCAGGCCUAACACAUGCAAGUCGAACGGUAACAGGAAGCAGCUUGCUGCUUUGCUGACGAGUGGCGGACGGGUGAGUAAUGUCUGGGAAACUGCCUGAUGGAGGGGGAUAACUACUGGAAACGGUGGCUAAUACCGCAUAACGUCGCAAGACCAAAGAGGGGGACCUUCGGGCCUCUUGCCAUCAGAUGUGCCCAGAUGGGAUUAGCUUGUUGGUGAGGUAACGGCUCACCAAGGCGACGAUCCCUAGCUGGUCUGAGAGGAUGACCAGCCACACUGGAACUGAGACACGGUCCAGACUCCUACGGGAGGCAGCAGUGGGGAAUAUUGCACAAUGGGCGCAAGCCUGAUGCAGCCAUGCCGCGUGUAUGAAGAAGGCCUUCGGGUUGU
This 429-nucleotide ribosomal RNA is filed under the name Salmonella enterica. Its description in RNAcentral is "bacterial SSU rRNA". It matches the Rfam family "Bacterial small subunit ribosomal RNA", at positions 1 to 426 of the family's 1533-position model. The record is from RNAcentral. Lineage: Bacteria; Pseudomonadati; Pseudomonadota; Gammaproteobacteria; Enterobacterales; Enterobacteriaceae. RNAcentral also lists the same sequence under 3 other names.